CUACGGGAGGCUCCAGUGAGGAAUAUUGCACAAUGGGGGGAACCCUGAUGCAGCAACGCCGCGUGGAGGAUGACGCAUUUCGGUGUGUAAACUCCUUUUAUAUGUCAAGAAAAUGACGGUAGCAUAUGAAUAAGCUCCGGCUAACUCCGUGCCAGCAGCCGCGGUAAUACGGAGGGUGCAAGCGUUACUCGGAAUCACUGGGCGUAAAGGACGCGUAGGCGGGUUGGAAAGUCAGGUGUGAAAUCCUACGGCUUAACUGUAGAACUGCACUUGAAACUUCUAAUCUAGAGUAUGGGAGGGGGAGAUGGAAUUAGUGGUGUAGGGGUAAAAUCCGUAGAUAUCACUAGGAAUACCUAAAGCGAAGGCGAUCUCCUGGAACAUUACUGACGCUAAGGCGUGAAAGCGUGGGGAGCAAACAGGAUUAGAUACCCGUGUAGUC
Molecule: ribosomal RNA, 439 nt
Filed under: uncultured bacterium
Lineage: Bacteria
Description: partial 16S ribosomal RNA
Rfam family: Bacterial small subunit ribosomal RNA
Source: RNAcentral